Molecule: ribosomal RNA, 254 nt
Filed under: uncultured bacterium
Lineage: Bacteria
Description: partial 16S ribosomal RNA
Rfam family: Bacterial small subunit ribosomal RNA
Source: RNAcentral
UACGUAGGGCGCAAGCGUUAUCCGGAAUUAUUGGGCGUGAAAGAGCUCGUAGGCGGUUUGUCGCGUCUGCCGUGAAAGUCCGGGGCUCAACUCCGGAUCUGCGGUGGGUACGGGCAGACUAGAGUGAUGUAGGGGAGACUGGAAUUCCUGGUGUAGCGGUGAAAUGCGCAGAUAUCAGGAGGAACACCGAUGGCGAAGGCAGGUCUCUGGGCAUUAACUGACGCUGAGGCACGAAAGCGUGGGGAGCAAACAGG